RNAcentral lists this ribosomal RNA (760 nucleotides) under uncultured prokaryote. RNAcentral's name for it is "bacterial SSU rRNA". It matches the Rfam family "Bacterial small subunit ribosomal RNA", at positions 708 to 1482 of the family's 1533-position model. The record is from RNAcentral.
UNCGAUUGCGAAGGCAGCUUGCUGGACUGUAACUGACGCUGAGGCACGAAAGCGUGGGGAUCAAACAGGAUUAGAUACCCUGGUANNCCACGCCGUAAACGAUGAAUGCUAGCUGUUAGCGAUAUACUGUUAGCGGCACAGAGAAAUCGUUAAGCAUUCCACCUGGGGAGUACGCCGGCAACGGUGAAACUCAAAGGAAUUGACGGGGGCCCGCACAAGCGGAGGAACAUGUGGUUUAAUUCGAUGAUACGCGAGGAACCUUACCUGGGCUUAAAUUGCAGUGGAAUAACGUGGAAACAUGUUAGCCUUCGGGCCGCUGUGAAGGUGCUGCAUGGUUGUCGUCAGCUCGUGCCGUGAGGUGUCGGCUUAAGUGCCAUAACGAGCGCAACCCUCAUCGAUAGUUACUAACAGGUUAAGCUGAGGACUCUAUCGAGACUGCCGACGUAAGUCGUGAGGAAGGUGGGGAUGACGUCAAAUCAGCACGGCCCUUACGUCCAGGGCUACACACGUGUUACAAUGGGGGGUACAAAGGGCAGCUACCUGGCGACAGGAUGCUAAUCUCAAAAACCUCUCUCAGUUCGGAUUGGAGUCUGCAACCCGACUCCAUGAAGCUGGAUUCGCUAGUAAUCGCGCAUCAGCCACGGCGCGGUGAAUACGUUCCCGGGCCUUGUACACACCGCCCGUCAAGCCAUGGGAGCCGGGGGGACCUGAAGUAUGCAACCGUAAGGAGCGUCCUAGGGUAAAACUGGUGACUGGGGCU